AAGCUGUUCCUGUACUCUCCAG
This 22-nucleotide microRNA is filed under the name Mus musculus (house mouse). RNAcentral describes it as "mmu-miR-6928-3p". The record is from miRBase by way of RNAcentral. Lineage: Eukaryota; Metazoa; Chordata; Mammalia; Rodentia; Muridae.